ACUAAAAGGCUAGUCCAAAGGUCUUUAGGGUUUGAUAAGUAUCUGUGACAUUACGAAUGUGAAAUCUAGACUUGCAAUGACAAUGUUUCUUGUUGAAGGUUUCUCUUGAUGGGGAUGUUCUUUUGGAUGUGUGAAGAAGGUCUUAAUACCCAGUCUGUACUCGGUGUUCUACAACGCUUGAUGUGGUACGUUAUAGUUGUCCUGGGUCUCUUCGUGGGUUAUCAGCUAGUUUUGAUGCCACUCCUUUAUCUUAUAAUUAUCAGAAAAAACCCAUUUCGUUUUUACUUCAAUCUUUUACCGGUUGUUUUGACUGCUUUCGGAACAGCAUCUAGUGCCGCAACUCUUCCUGUCACUAUGCGUUACAUGGAAGAAGGUAAUAAAAUUCACAGCUACAUUACCCGAUUUGUACUUCCUCUGGGAAUGACGAUUCAUAUGGAUGGCGGAUGUCUGAAUUAUCCAAUGAAAACUAUUUUUGUUGCUCGUUGGAAUGGUGUUACCGUUGACAUUCCUACUUCCAUUGUUGUUAGCCUAUUAUGA
Molecule: long non-coding RNA, 537 nt
Organism: Limulus polyphemus (Atlantic horseshoe crab)
Lineage: Eukaryota; Metazoa; Arthropoda; Merostomata; Xiphosura; Limulidae
Exons: 3
Source: RefSeq, a predicted model, not a curated record